GUGUUGUCUAGGCAAUACAUGUAUUAAAUUUGGAACGAUACAGAGAAGAUUAGCAUGUCCCUGCGUAAGGAUGACUCGCAUAAUCGUGAAGCGUCUCCAAUUUUU
Pimephales promelas (fathead minnow) is the source of this 105-nucleotide small nuclear RNA. Lineage: Eukaryota; Metazoa; Chordata; Actinopteri; Cypriniformes; Leuciscidae. The record is from RefSeq and is a predicted model, not a curated record.